GGACGGAGAUAAGCUCCAGGAAUUUCUGUUAUAGAUGUGUAAUUGCGUCAAUAUGAGUGAUAGUGAAGUCACGAGACACGUUGAGUUGUUGCAGUCGCCGCUAUUUUAAGUUAAAUGCGGUGUUUUCAAACCGUCGACGCUCAAUGUGUGUUUACGGCUAAGCUAACAGCCGCGCUACCGCCAAGCUAGCGCAAGUCGACAUUGGACUUAAUUAGCUUUGGCGCUAACUGUCAGCUAGCACCUCAGUGAGCCCCGGCAAGGGAGGGACGACUGGAAAACCAGAUAGCGCACCUGGCGACCAGGUAAAACUCAGGUGCACCUCUGGCGACGAGGGAGGAGAAACGUACUCCAUCAUUUGCCGAGGAACCGAUGUGUGGAGCCGGAUUUUUGGAGGGAAAAGGACCGUUGUAAACCGGACUCCUGGAGGGAGAGUAAGCUGUUUCAUGGACACAUUCAGCGGACGUCAUCUUAUGAGGGCCAACGCACAUCCGCCAUAUAUAUCAGGCUCAGUUUAGUGACACAAUGUCACCGCAGCAGUGUGAGAGGAGCUCGGCUUUAGAGGAAGGAGAGGACUGUGGAGUAAAGACUAAAUAUACUGAGGCGAGCAGCACCAAGCAAACAGGGCCUGUGGAAAAGCUCACUGAAGGAAGCCAGCAGAAACCCGUCUUAAAGGUUCCCCCUCAAUAUAAAACCUGAAUUCUAAUCAAAACCUAAAAUAAAAUAAAUGGAAUAAAAAAAAAAAAACAGACUGAUUAAAUACAACAAAAAGCUGAGAACGAUUCUGAAAAUGUGAUUUAAUGCUGCUGAAUUUCAAAAUAAUACUUCCUCCUGAAGCCUCUUUUUGUGAGCUGCUGCAGGACUGAGUGGCCUCAGAUGAUUUAUGCUCUGUGGUGGAUGAUUUUUAUUGAAACUCAAAGAAUAAAAGCUAAACUCUGAUUUAUUUUAAAGGUGGUUUUGUAGCGAAUACAGCUGCUUUAUUAUAUCAUAGUCACAUACAUUCUUCAAACCAUUAGUAGAAGUGAAUAUUUCGUGGCCUACGUUAUAUCCUGUAAUCUCCAGAUGUGUUUAGAGGGAGAAAUCCUGCAAGUGCAUUGUCUAACUGUAUUUAUAGGCCCGUACAAAUGGUCUUCCAGUAUUAUUGUGGAAUCUCAGAUGUCACAGAUGGAACCUGGAAAUUUUUCUCACGUCCCAUGGAAAAGAAAAGAAAAAAUCAGUGACAUAAAACAAGAAUCAAGAAGCCUCUCAUUAUUCUUUAAUGUGAACGCGCACAACUUUUCCAAAGCCGAUUAGUCUGGAAAUCCCUGUAUAAUUAUCGACAUUCACUGAUCAAUAACAAACAGUCCUCAACGACGUCUGAGUAAAAAAGAGAGAGGGAAGGAGGAGGAGGAAGAGGAGGAGGAAGAAGAGGAAGAAGAAGUGGAGUGAGCGAGGCUGCUGCUGCUGCUGUGCCGGACGCACCGCGAACCGAUCCCCGCGCGAUCCAUCUUCAUUGGCGCUUUUGUGUGCGCAAAAAAAAAAAAAAAGAAAAGAAAAAAGAAAGGCGCGCGCAUAAGGUAAAGCCCGCAUCAAAGCCGCGGCUUUAUUUUUAUAUCCAAUAGAUCAGCAGGCAGACAAAGCUUUAUUUUCGCCAGGAGAGACAUAUUUUACCUCUGCCUUACGGUUUUAUGUUGGAGAGGUGUCAGCCGCGGGAAAUGGAUGGCUAAUGCAUAGGCAAAGCGCUGCUCGCCUCGGCAUGCUGCACGUCAGAGGGGGGCUGCAGGGAAGAGCAGCGG
Molecule: long non-coding RNA, 1772 nt
Organism: Seriola aureovittata
Lineage: Eukaryota; Metazoa; Chordata; Actinopteri; Carangiformes; Carangidae
Exons: 3
Source: RefSeq, a predicted model, not a curated record